UUGACCUCAAAUCGGGUGAGACUACCCGCUGAACUUAAGCAUAUCAAUAAGCGGAGGNNNNNNNNNNNNNAAGGAUUCCCCUAGUAACUGCGAGUGAAGCGGGAAGAGCUCAAAUUUAAAAUCUGGCGGUCUUUGGCCGUCCGAGUUGUAAUUUAGAGAAGCGUCUUCCGCGCCGGACCGUGCACAAGUCUCCUGGAAUGGAGCGUCAUAGAGGGUGAGAAUCCCGUCUUUGGCACGGACCCCCGGUGCUUCUGUGAUGCGCUCUCGACGAGUCGAGUUGUUUGGGAAUGCAGCUCCAAAUGGGUGGUGAACUCCAUCUAAAGCUAAAUAUUGGCGAGAGACCGAUAGCGAACAAGUACCGUGAGGGAAAGAUGAAAAGCACUUUGGAAAGAGAGUGAAACAGUACGUGAAAUUGUUGAAAGGGAAACGCUUGAAGUCAGUCGCGUCGACCGAGACUCAGCCUUGCCUCGGCUUGGUGUACUUCUCGGGCUGACGGGCCAGCGUCGAUUUCGUCCCUCGGAUAAUGGCAAGGGAAAGGUGGCACCUUUGCGGGUGUGUUAUAGUCUCCUGUCGCAUACGAGGGGUGGGAUCGAGGAACUCAGCACGCACCUUUGGUGUCGGGGCUUAGGCCCACGAAACGGCUUAGGACGUUGGCGUAA
RNAcentral lists this ribosomal RNA (659 nucleotides) under Lactarius kabansus. RNAcentral describes it as "eukaryotic LSU rRNA". It matches the Rfam family "Eukaryotic large subunit ribosomal RNA", at positions 1 to 634 of the family's 3401-position model. Lineage: Eukaryota; Fungi; Basidiomycota; Agaricomycetes; Russulales; Russulaceae. The record is from RNAcentral.